RNAcentral lists this ribosomal RNA (506 nucleotides) under uncultured bacterium. RNAcentral describes it as "partial 16S ribosomal RNA". It matches the Rfam family "Bacterial small subunit ribosomal RNA", at positions 28 to 523 of the family's 1533-position model. The record is from RNAcentral.
GAUGAACGCUAGCUACAGGCCUAACACAUGCAAGUCGAGGGGUAACGAGAGGAAAGCUUGCUUUCCUUGUCGACGACCGGCGCACGGGUGCGUAACGCGUAUCCAACCUGCCCCCAACUAGGGAAUAACCUUGCGAAAGUAAGACUAAUACCCUAUAAUUUCCUCAGAUGUCAUCUGACGAGGAAUAAAGAUUUAUCGGUUGUGGAUGGGGAUGCGUCUGAUUAGCUUGUUGGCGGGGUAACGGCCCACCAAGGCAACGAUCAGUAGGGGUUCUGAGAGGAAGGUCCCCCACAUUGGAACUGAGACACGGUCCAAACUCCUACGGGAGGCAGCAGUGAGGAAUAUUGGUCAAUGGGCGGAAGCCUGAACCAGCCAAGUAGCGUGCAGGAUGACGGCCCUAUGGGUUGUAAACUGCUUUUAUACAGGAAUAAAGUUAGCCACGUGUGGUUAUUUGUAGGUACUGUAUGAAUAAGGACCGGCUAAUUCCGUGCCAGCAGCCGCAGUAA